RNAcentral lists this transfer RNA (76 nucleotides) under Rhodopseudomonas palustris. RNAcentral describes it as "tRNA-OTHER". RNAcentral also lists the same sequence under 4 other names. Lineage: Bacteria; Pseudomonadati; Pseudomonadota; Alphaproteobacteria; Hyphomicrobiales; Nitrobacteraceae. The record is from RNAcentral.
GGCCCGGUGGCGGAAGAUCAACGCGGGGGCGGUGCAACGCUCUUUUUUCCUGGUUCAAGUCCAGGCUGGGCCUCCA